Molecule: long non-coding RNA, 273 nt
Organism: Phyllostomus discolor (pale spear-nosed bat)
Lineage: Eukaryota; Metazoa; Chordata; Mammalia; Chiroptera; Phyllostomidae
Exons: 2
Source: RefSeq, a predicted model, not a curated record
AGUGGCCUAGUAGAGGCAAACGUCAAUGAGGGCAUACAGCAGGCGUUCAACUUUGCCCUGAGCUAGUACAACAAAGCAAGCAACAACCCCUCCCACAGCUGUGCCAUGCGGGUGGUAUAUGCCUGCAAGCAGGCUGUGGCUGGGCUUAACUACUUCUUAGAUGUGGAAAUUGUUUGCGAAGUCCCAGCCUAACUUGGCAAGCUGUCCCUUCCGUGUCCAGCCAUACCUGACAAAGAAAGCACACUGCUCUUUCCAGAUAUACACUGCCCCUUG